AUUGCACAAUGGGCGGAAGCCUGAUACAGCGACGCCCCGUGAGUGAAGAAGUAUCUCGGUAUNUAAAGCUCUAUCAGCAGGGAAGNNCANNNANGUACCUGACUAAGAAGCCACGGCUAACUACGUGCCANNNGACGCGGUAAUACGUAGGGGGCAAGCGUUAUCCGGAUUUACUGGGUGUAAAGGGAGCGUAGACGGGGACGCAAGUCUGGAGUGAAAGCCCGGGGCCCAAACCCGGGACUGCGUUGGAAACUGUGCUGCUGGAGUGCAGGAGAGGUAAGUGGAAUUCCUAGUGUAGCGGUGAAAUGCGUAGAUAUUAGGAGGAACACCAGUGGCGAAGGCGGCUUACUGGACUGUAACUGACGUUGAGGCUCGAAAGCGUGGGGAGCAAACAG
Molecule: ribosomal RNA, 395 nt
Filed under: uncultured bacterium
Lineage: Bacteria
Description: partial 16S ribosomal RNA
Rfam family: Bacterial small subunit ribosomal RNA
Source: RNAcentral